UAGAGUCUGAACGGCUCCGGGAUCACGAUCGACUCAUGUUUAGCUCGUAUUUUCUUUUUUUCUGCGCAGCCCGGCUUCGUCCUUUCCAACUCUUCUACUUCCCAGGCUUUUUCAGCCGGAGAGAGGAAUUGAGGGGCGUAGGUGAACGUGGGUUUGAAUGAAGAAGCGGUGGAGGUUGUGAAGAUGUCCUGCCGAGGGCAGCCCCAGGACUGGACUCAGGAUGUCACCCCCGUCUGCCUCGACUUCUUCGCUGACCCGGUCUGACCGGAGGGCGGUCACAACUUUUGCUGCGCGUGUAUCACGGGGAACUGGGAACGGGAGGCGAGAAACUCCUGCCCGGAGUGCAGACGGGAAUUCCCGCGGAAGAAGCUCACGGUGAACCGGGCCUUAGCGAAUCUGGCGGAGAGGGCGAGAAAACUCAGCCCGGAGUCGAAAUUGAGGGACGUGAAGCUCCUGAUGUGAGGAGCAUCAGGAGGAGGUGAAGCUGCUGUUCUGUGAAACUGACAUGAAACUGAUCUGUUACAUUUGUAGAGAUUCGCGCGGACACAAAUCUCACAGUUUCAUGCCCAUCAAAGAAGCGGUGGAAAUGUACAAGGAGCAGCUGAAAUCUUAUUUACAAUCUCUGACUGAAGAAAGACCGCUCUUUCUAGACUCAGAAGUGAAGCAGAUCCGCCAGAUUUCUGAAGUUAAGGUGUGUUAACCCUCCCCACUCCCUUCUGGGUGUCCUACUCCCUCUAUCGCGGUACAGUACAUGAUCUUUGUUCUCCUCCACCUCCCCCCACCCCCCAUUUCCUUUGGUAGGAACAGGCGAACUGUCUGCAGUUGCACAUCACAUCCCAGUUCGCUAAAAUGCACCAGGUUCUCGCUGAGAAAAAGCAGCCUUUGCUCAGAGAGCUCAGGAGGGAAGAGGAGAGGAUUCUCGACACGAUGGGGAAGAACCUUGGAGAGAUUCAGGAGAAUUUAAAUUCAGUCCAGGAGGAGGUUACAAAGAUGCAGGAACAGAUGGAGCAGUGAGAUGGAGUGACAUUUCUGAAGGACGAGUGACGACUACAAGGAAGUGCCACUGGCAGAAGAGAAGCUCUCCCUGGGACAGUUCAAUGGUCCUUUGCAGUACACAGCUUGGAGAGGAAUGUUAGACACCAUUAAGCCUGUUCCAGCCUCUCUCACUCUGGAUCCGAACACAGCAAAUCGUUGGCUCGUUGUGUCUCAGGAUGGGACCAGUGUGAGACUCGGUGGGAAGCCUCAGCGUCUGCCUGUGCGUGCUGGCAUC
Rhincodon typus (whale shark) is the source of this 1270-nucleotide long non-coding RNA. RefSeq lists it as uncharacterized. The record is from RefSeq and is a predicted model, not a curated record. Lineage: Eukaryota; Metazoa; Chordata; Chondrichthyes; Orectolobiformes; Rhincodontidae. The transcript has 4 exons.